This 67-nucleotide transfer RNA is filed under the name Camelus bactrianus (Bactrian camel). It matches the Rfam family "tRNA". From Rfam's summary of the family: Transfer RNA (tRNA) molecules are approximately 80 nucleotides in length. RNAcentral also lists the same sequence under 1 other name. Lineage: Eukaryota; Metazoa; Chordata; Mammalia; Artiodactyla; Camelidae. The record is from Rfam by way of RNAcentral.
GGUAAUAGCCCAGUGGUAGAGUGCAUGCUUAGCAUGCACGAGGUCCUGGGUUCAAUCCCCAGUACCU